AUUGAACGCUGGCGGCAUGCUUUACACAUGCAAGUCGAACGGUAACAGGCCGCAAGGUGCUGACGAGUGGCGAACGGGUGAGUAAUGCAUCGGAACGUGCCCAGUCGUGGGGGAUAACUACUCGAAAGAGUAGCUAAUACCGCAUACGAUCUAUGGAUGAAAGCGGGGGACCGUAAGGCCUCGCGCGAUUGGAGCGGCCGAUGUCAGAUUAGGUAGUUGGUGGGGUAAAGGCUCACCAAGCCAACGAUCUGUAGCUGGUCUGAGAGGACAACCAGCCACACUGGGACUGAGUCACGGCCCAGACUCCUACGGGAGGCAGCAGUGGGGAAUUUUGGACAAUGGGCGCAAGCCUGAUCCAGCAAUGCCGCGUGCAGGAAGAAGGCCUUCGGGUUGUAAACUGCUUUUGUACGGAACGAAACGGCUCUGGUUAAUACCCGGGGCUAAUGACGGUACCGUAAGAAUAAGCACCGGCUAACUACGUG
This 482-nucleotide ribosomal RNA is filed under the name uncultured bacterium. Its description in RNAcentral is "partial 16S ribosomal RNA". It matches the Rfam family "Bacterial small subunit ribosomal RNA", at positions 30 to 507 of the family's 1533-position model. The record is from RNAcentral.